AUGUACGGUUGGAGCACAAGUGGUAAAUAUGGGUGUCCAUCAUGUGGUCCUUCUACAAGAUCAUUUCGCCUGAAUAAGGGUAUGAAACUUUGUUAUAUGGGUCACCGUCGCUGGUUACCACAGGGUCAUGUAUUUCGAAACCGAAGAAGGCAGGAAUUUGAUGGCACUAAAGAGACAGAAUUGGCACCGACAACUAUGAGUGGUAGUUCAGCUUUGAAAAUGUUGCAAGGCAGAGUGUUUGUGUUAGGCAAAAAAGGCAAUAUAGCAAAGAAAGCAAAGGGCGGAAAGAAGGUCAAAAACAGUGAAAAAGAAAAUGAAAAGAAUCAAGAACCAAAGUGUAAAAGGAAGGCAGGCAACAAGUCAAUUAAGAACCAAGGUAAGCCUGAGAAGAAGCCUGAGGAUUGGUUAAAAAAAAUCAAUAUUUUUCAACUUGCCAUAUUGGGAACUUAA
Molecule: ribosomal RNA, 450 nt
Filed under: Triticum aestivum (bread wheat)
Lineage: Eukaryota; Viridiplantae; Streptophyta; Magnoliopsida; Poales; Poaceae
Description: partial small subunit ribosomal RNA
Source: RNAcentral